Molecule: ribosomal RNA, 253 nt
Filed under: uncultured bacterium
Lineage: Bacteria
Description: partial 16S ribosomal RNA
Rfam family: Bacterial small subunit ribosomal RNA
Source: RNAcentral
UACGUAGGUGGCAAGCGUUGUCCGGAUUUACUGGGCGUAAAGGGCGUGCAGGCGGUUUGUUAAGUGCAGGGUGAAAGCUCCCGGCUCAACUGGGAGAUGUCCUUGCAUACUGGCAGACUUGAGGGAGGCAGAGGAAAGUGGAAUUCCCGGUGUAGUGGUGAUAUGCGUAGAUAUCGGGAAGAACACCCGUGGCGAAGGCGGUUCUCUGGGACGGUACUGACGCUGAGACGCGAAAGCGUGGGGAGCGAACAGG